RNAcentral lists this small RNA (3591 nucleotides) under Pongo abelii (Sumatran orangutan). Its description in RNAcentral is "processed transcript". Lineage: Eukaryota; Metazoa; Chordata; Mammalia; Primates; Hominidae. The record is from RNAcentral.
AUGUUGGCCAGGCUGGUCUGGAACUCCUGACCUGAAGUGAUCUGCCCACCUCGGCUUCCCAAAGUGCUGGGAUGACAGGCGUAAGCCACUGCGCCUGGCCCCUUCAGGUGGGUUUUGAGGCUUCACUACAAUACUAGUUCCCCGUUGCUGCUGCAACAAAUUACCACACCCUUAGUGGCUUAAAACAGCACAGAGAUAUUCCCUUCCAGUUCUGAAGGCCAGAAUUCUAAAGUCAGUCCCACUGAGUCAAGGUGGGAGCAGGCUCAGUGCCUUCCCAGGCUCUGCGGGAGAAUCCGUUUCCUGGCCCUGGAGGCGGCCUGUACUCCUCAGCUUGUGCUGCCCUUCUCGAAUGACUCGAGUUUCCUGCUUUCAUCACUACACCUCCCACCACUCUCCAUCACCUGCUCUGCUCUUAUAAGGAUCCAGAGAAAUGGAAUAGUCGUAUCACUGAUCUACGUAAACAGGUUGAAGAAUUGUCUGAAAGAAAAUAUGGUGUGUCUAAACUGGAAAAGUCCUGUAAUAGUUUGUUCAUGAGCAUUUACACAAUGGAGUUGCUGUUUCAUCAUGGGGGUACUGUGGACAAGCCCAGGGUUGCUGACAUGAACUUAUGAAUUUAAGACAUGAAGAUUUACAGCUUGAUAAACCAGCUUCAGGAGACAUGAACUUAUGAACUCAACACAUGAAGAUUUACAGCUUGACAAACGGCUGCUGUAAAAUAUUACAGGCAUACUUUGGAGAUAUUACGGGAUUGGUUCCACAUCACUGCAAUAAAAAAACUGUGGAUUUAGUUACCCCACUCUGCCAUGUCUUUCCACCACUGCCUGCACAUUUGAGACCAAGGAUAGAGAUUGGGAAAAAUUGAUAGUUCUCCUGCCUCAGAGUUUGGCUCCUGCACUCUCAUUUCAGCCAUAGCUGCAGAGAGAGCACACGAUUGCUGGGCACUGUGGCUCAAGAGAAGGGGGAGAUGACUCCAGCGGGAAGAAGAAGAGGCCUUUGCCAGCAGUCAGAGCAGCCAAGGGGCCCAAUCCCUCACAUUCUCCAAGUUUGAAGAAAAACCAACGAGAAGACCCGCAAGGUUACCACAGUGAAGAAAUCUUCAGUGCGUCUUCUAGGGUCGGAUCAAAGAAGGCAGAAAUUCAGGAAGCAAAAGCUCCCAGUCCUUCCAUAAACCGGCAAACCAGCAUUGAAAUGGGUUAAGAGUGUCUAAGGAGUUCAUAGAAUUUCUCAAGACCUUCCACAAGACAGGCCAAGAAAUCUAUAAACAGACCAAGCUGUUUUUGGAAGGGAUGCAUUACAAAGGGAGCCCUGCACUGGGUUACGCCUCAGAUGCUGUGUGUCCCUGUUAAUGAAGACAUCCCAGAAGUGUCUGAUACGCUGGUGAAGGCGAUCACAGGGAUUGUGCUGCAUUCUGACUUAGGUUCUGCUAUCAAAAACAGAAUGCCCUGAUCCUUAGAGGCAGAGGCAGCUCUUCAGCCUAUGGGCUGAAGCUCUUGGACUCACUGAGGCAGUAAAAGUACCAUAUCCUGUGUUUGAAUCAAACCCCGAGUUCCUGUGUGUAGAAGGUUUGCCAGACAGGAUUCCCUUUUGAAGCCCUCCUGGUUUGGAAUUCCAUGACUUGAAAGGAUCGUCCGUGGGAGUAAUAAAAUCAAGUUUGUUGGUAAAAACUUCACAGUUUCUAAAAAGACCACGAAGCCCUGAGAGUAAUGAAAAGCUUCCUGACAUUGAGGUCACUGUGGAAGAGGGAAAUAUGUCAUGUACCAGCUGUCCAUCCAAUGACUGCCCAUCAGUUCCAUAUUCACCCUUCACUGCCUGAUCUGCAGACAUAGAGGACCUCACAAUGACUCAAGCUACCAUGUACUGUUGAUUGUGAUGAAAUGCCAGCUGAGGCACAUGCUUUGGGAGGUAAGUGGCUGCUGCACUUGACCACUAUGAAGGCUGGUGUGGGAAGAAUCCUUUUGGAUGCACUUCAGCAGGGGCCCCGAUCCCUGGGUCACAGGCCUGUACUGGGCCACACAACAGGAGGAGAAUCUAAUGCCUGAUGGUCUGUCACUGUCUCCCAUCACCCCCAGAUGGGACCAUCUAGUUGCAGGAAAAGAAGGUCAAGACUCCCACUCAUUCUACAUUAUGUCUCUGUGUGUUUCCCAGGCUGGAGCACAGUGGUUUGAUCUUGGCUCACUGCAGUCUCAACCUCUCAGGCUCAAGCUAUCCUUCCGCCUCAGCCUCUGGGGUAGCUGGGACCACAGCCUCAGCCAAGAUGUCUCACCCUACUCUCUAUGAUGCAAGAAGCCCCUGGGGAACGUUUCAGUCCCACUCUACUAUUGUCAUGUGCUCAUCACAGUCUGCUGGAUCUACCAUGAAAGACUUCAGAGUCCGGAAAGAGAGACUGACUGGGCAGCAUGUUAUUCAGUUACAAAAAGACUUGGACUAUGACUCAAAAAUGAUCAAAUAAUAGUUCAUGCAUCAAAUGCAAUAGGAAGCAUUUCUGGAGGGUGAGAGAAGCAUCCAGUUAAGGUGACAUUGAAGCUGGGUCCUGAAAGAUGAGGAAGAAUUGUAUGAGAGUGGGCAGAGAAUGGGCUGGGAUGGCGUGAGCUGCUCAAGCAGGGAGACCAGCACUGUAAAGACCUGGACGAUAAAGACGGCACGUUUUAUUCAGGGAAUGGUGAAUUAAGUGUGGCAGGAAUGCUUUGGAGAGAUAGUAAUUUGCUUGUAUGGAAUUUUGCCUGAGAGGCCUCAUUACAGUUUCUAAUCUUUUGAUGUUAUCAUCUAUCACUGUCCUUGUCAAAUAGUUUGGAAUCGUUAUAAUGAUCACAAUAACAUCAAGCAUAGUAUUUCAUUAAUUUUCACAAAAUCACAGGUAGGUGCCACAGUUUAUCCCCAUUUUGUGAAUGAAGUGAUGAAGACUUAGGAAUAAUGGGUGAUUUGCCCAAGCUCACCUGGAUAUUAAGACUGAGUCAAAUGUCGGGUCUGGUCUGACUUUAAUCUUUGCUUUGUUCGUGAGCACCACGUGUUGCCUCUCCUAUGCAGUUAAGCAGGUAGACAGGUGAAAGAAAAGCCCGUGUUUGUCUCUACUCAGACACUUCUGACUGAAUGUGUGGAAUUUCUACACCAAGUUCUCCAAUGCUGUGGAUAUUAACUGGGUAUCCUACAGUUUUAUUCUGACACUUCAUGGAGUUGGCGUAGACCCCACAGGUUACGGGCUCAGUCCCACGAGACCACCCUUGCUUCACAUUGCAAUGGCAAGUCCUAGGUUGUCACCUGCACUUUUGACCAACCUGUUACAAAUCAGGGGUUCCCAUGACCCCCUCUUGGGGUUUAAUCAUUUGUUAGAGCAGCUUACAGAGCUCAGAAAAAGUUUGUUUCCUUUUUUUCUGAGAGACAGGUGGCUCACGCUGUAAUCCCAGCACUUUGGGAGGCUGAGGUAGGAGGAUUGCUUAAACUCAGGAGUUUGAGACCAGCCUGGGCAACAUGGUGAAACCCUGUCUCUGUAAAAAGUUUUUAAAAAGCUGGGCACAGUGGCUCAAGCCUGUAAUCCCAGCACUUUGGGAGGCCAAGGUGGGCGAAUCACGAGGUCAGGAGUUCGAGACCAGUCUG